GGAGCAGAUCGAGUUCUUGCUUGUGAUCUUCCUUCUGGGAAAUCGAUGGGCUAUUUUGACAUUUCAGUUGAUCAUGUUCAUGGUCAGCCCGUCAUACUUGAUUACCUUGCUAGCAAGAGAAAGUAAAAUUUAUUUCUACCUCAGUAAGUUUUUAUUAUGUUAGUUAUCAUGCUUUAUUAUUGUAAAUAUUUGAAUACCAUUAUUUUGUGGAUUCUUGUAAUGAAUUGAUGAGACAGACACCUGCAGAUGUCCUUAGUCAUAACAAGCUGUUUUUAAUUCGUUUUUCGCAAGACACUGAGCCAAAUGUAAUCUGCAAUUGUUCAUUUGGUGUUUUUUUUUUUUUUUUU
This 347-nucleotide long non-coding RNA is filed under the name Helianthus annuus (common sunflower). Its description in RNAcentral is "sRNA HanXRQr2_Chr04g0192751". Lineage: Eukaryota; Viridiplantae; Streptophyta; Magnoliopsida; Asterales; Asteraceae. The record is from RNAcentral.